AUAACACUCUAUGCCGUUAUUGUUUUUUUUAUAACAACAAUUUUCAACAAAAAUGUUCUCAAAGCAAUUUACAUAGAGAGAAAAAGAACGUCGAGGGAAUGUUUCCCUAUGCCCAAAGGGCUCACACAGUCUAAAGCAAAACACAAGGUUUGGCAGAAAGACAAACACCUGGACCAAAGUGACCACCGAACUGGACAGGGAUCCUAAGAGAGCACAGAGACAAGACAUCAGCGGUGCAAGAACUGUUUGCAGAUUUCCUGGCUCACCUGCAUGAGCCACACUCAGCCUUCUCCUCCUGGAUGGGAAGUGAAAGGCUGAUGCCUCUCUCGUGCUGUACCUACGUGGAUUGCUCUUUGGCUCUGUAGUCAACAGACGAAACCACCCCAAAACUUGGUGGAAACGGGUCCUGGAAUGGGGCUGCAGAUAUACCAUGAUGCAUCAUAGAAUGGACUUCUCUCUAAAGUGUUGGACUUUAGUACCCAGGUUAACAGAACUCCCUACCUCACCCCUUAU
This is a long non-coding RNA of Hemicordylus capensis (graceful crag lizard), 513 nucleotides long. RefSeq lists it as uncharacterized. Lineage: Eukaryota; Metazoa; Chordata; Lepidosauria; Squamata; Cordylidae. The transcript is spliced from 3 exons. The record is from RefSeq and is a predicted model, not a curated record.